GGGAAUUUGAAGCGGCGUUUCCUGAAAGCAAUGGCGCUGAUUCUUCGGGAUCUAUGAGGAAUUUACUACUGUCGAGAACUGAAAUUGGGCUUAAUUCAUCGGAGCUGCACUCUGAUUCUACUUUUCUGGUGUUUGUAGAAAUGCCCCACAGAGUUCAUGGAUUGGCUCCUUGCUAUCGAAUUAUGAUUUUGCUUCAUCUCUGGCAAGGGAUCCAAGCCCAUUAGUCUCGCCACAAUUCCAGAUGUGGGUUUGACAUUCAAAUCCUUGACUUGAAGAAGCUUCUCAUCAGAAUUCACUGAGCUAGUGUCGUCUGUGAUCUGAUCGGUCGGGUGCGUCGGGAGGGUACCGGAGCAGAGAAUUCGGCGGAGAAUUCCCGAAAGACAGCUCGGUGUAGCUAAUGCAGCUCUGGGGUUGCAGCCAUGAGCAUCAAAAGUGGAGGUGGAGAAGGAGGAAGAGGAAGAGCAAGAUGGAGAGGGCAACAACUUCAUGCUGAGUUCAGGUUAGUAAGCCGAAAAUGGUGACCGGUGAUUGCUUUUGUUCAAACUGAGCAGCAACCACUCUACAGACCAACAGCAACAACAACGACAGGGAGUGAAAUAUUAAAGUGGCAAUGCAAUGUUGGAGGACCAGAAGAUUGUGCGCUUGUCCAAACCGACCAGCUCUGGUAACAUCAUGAUUCCCUUUAACAUUAGAAUAUAACACUCAACUUAAAUGGUUAUAGUUUUGAAUCUACCCCGGGGCCUUGUCCUGGACAUUGAACUUGAACUCAUUAGUAACGUCCUAGUUCAGGGUAAGUGGAGUUGUAUAACAAACAUAGGCUCGACUUUGAUAUGUGAAGCUGUAGCUAUGUUUCCUUUUA
Molecule: long non-coding RNA, 859 nt
Organism: Cucurbita maxima (winter squash)
Lineage: Eukaryota; Viridiplantae; Streptophyta; Magnoliopsida; Cucurbitales; Cucurbitaceae
Exons: 3
Source: RefSeq, a predicted model, not a curated record